This 3175-nucleotide long non-coding RNA is filed under the name Marmota monax (woodchuck). The record is from RNAcentral. Lineage: Eukaryota; Metazoa; Chordata; Mammalia; Rodentia; Sciuridae.
GAAGAGUGAGGCUGAGAGGGGUGGGUGGCACACAGGAGGACGAUGUGUGGGUGUGGGCAGAGAGGAGCAGCCUGGUAGCACACAGGGAAGGAAGAGGCAGAGGGGAGUGGAGCCAGCACUGAAGGUGAGCUCAUGGAGCAGAUGAGUAUUGAGGAGGGAGGGGGAGGAGAGGUGGUAGAUGGAUAGGAGUAUCCAGGAAAAGACAGUUGUCAGGCCCAGUGUCUAUGCAGGAUGAGAGUGCAUGAAUGUGCUGGGAUGUUGACGGGCAUAUGUGGGAUAGGAGUGAUGGCAGAAGGUAAAAGCAAGUGGGGACAGGAAUGUGGUAGGAAAAUUAGAGGCAUAUGUACAUUUGAGAGCGUUUUUAGAAGAGUAUGAAAGAAAGGACAUGAAGUGGAAGGACACUUGAAAGGUUACAGGCAGCCAUUGUUGUUGGAGCCAGAAAAAAACACACAUCUUGGAGACAGAGACAUGAGCACGAGCUACCAAGUAGAGCAUGUGAAGUUGGUACACUGUGUGUAAUGGUAGGAGGAAUGAAUAGUUUGACUCGUCAGGAGCUGCCAACAGAUCAAAGAAUAGUACACACUAGAAAGGACUGCUGAAUGACUGGACAAAUCACAGAUGGAAGCUAAAAGAAUUACAGAUGGGGAAGGUGACAGUACUUUGCUAUGCAGUCAAAGAGGAAAGCAGGAGAAAUGAUCAUACAAUUGUGCACUGGGAAAGAAGGUGCGGAAUUUACAAACCAUGGAAAGCAUAAAAGGGGCAGUGAUUCAGUGGACAAGAAUGAGAAAGAUCAGAAGGAGCCUAGUGGUCAAGGGAUAAGAGGUGGUUGAAAAGACCAGAGAAGGCACUGUGCCAUUAGAGCCACCACAAGGACAAUAUAGGACAGAAUUAAUGUGGGGAAUUCAGAGCCUGUUCCCUGCAAAUGGGGCAAAGUAUGAGGGAAGUCCACUGAGAAGACAGAUCAUGACAUGGAUAGAAAAGCCAGGAAUGAAAAAUAGAUAGGAGGGGCCUAAAGGGAAUGAGUUUGUAGUAGUCAUGGCACCUAGCAAAGGCUGGGAUCACUAUGUCAUCAAAGAGUAUGCUGAGGAGCUGGGGUAGAGCUCAGUAGUAGAGCUUGACUAGCAUAUGUGAGGCACUGGGUUUGAUUCUCAGAACCACAUAUAAAUAAAUAUAGGGGUCCAUUGACAACUUAAAAAAAAAAAGCAUGAUAAGAUGAACAGAAAUCAGGGGGAACAACUCUAAGAGAGGAGAUGACUGUCACCAAAAUAGUGCAAACAAGAAGCUAAGAUGGUUAGGAGUGAAUUCAGAAGCAGAUGGACUCAGUAGAGCACCCUGGGAACAAAGAAGCUGGCAAUGGUGGCAGCAGUAAGGACAGGUCAGGAAGGAAAUAGACAUGGAAGAAAAGACUCCUGAGCCCAUGGAAUGACUGUGAGGUGGCAGGAGAAGUAUGAAAACUGGAUGAUGAAGCGGAAGCAGAAGAUCCCUGGAAAACCAAAGUGGGAGAAAAUGCAGGGGAUGGCCUAGUAAUGGUUAAAUUCACAUCAAUGGUGGAAAGAGAGACACAGGAUUUGGGCUGCCACGGGAAGGUGGUAUGUGGGACAUGUCCUGUUUUAGGGGAAUUAACAGGAAAAGAAAGGGAUAGGAGGCACUUUGAUAAUGAGUGAAUGUUAUGUUUGUGGUGGCACCAGCAUGGGAUGGGGGGUAGGGAGACUGCAGAGUUCUGAAAUUUGGCAUAUUGGCAGAUUUCAUGGAUAAGGAGGUGAGGUGAGCAUUAUCAAGGCCAGACCUCAGAAGUAGAGCAGAGAAGAGAAGCAAACCACAGGUGUUUUCAGAGUAGGCGUAUGAUGGAAGUAAAGCAAAGGGCCAAAGUGACUUGGGUAAUAUGAUGGUAAACUGGCAACUAUAUUAAUUAAGACAGGUGCUGUACAUAUAGCACUGCAGGUACCUCAGGGACAUGGGGUGGUCCCAUGCAGAGUGAGUCCAGUAUAUGGAAGAAAAAGUUUCCAAAUAGCAGAGGAACAGCUGGGAACCAAUGCGGAACAGGCAUUUCGCAGUGACCACUGAAUCUGUUCUUCUGCUGUUCAGGGGUGGCUAAAAGGAGAGAGGUAUACCAUGCAACAGAGACUCUGCAGGGACACAGUGAAGCUAGGAAUGGAAGGAACCUUCCAACCCAGUGAGUUUCACAGGCUUAGGGGAGACAGAAAGGAAGGCAGUGAAAUAGUAGUACACAGUAGAGGAAGGCCCUGAGAGGAAGAGAGGAAGGCCCUGAGAGGAAGAGAGGAAGGCCCUGUGGGGAGCUUAAGUAUUCAAUUGCCAGGCUUCUUUCUUGGGGGCUUGAUCUAGAGAUAAAAGAGGAGGAAGGCAGAUUAGAUUGGAAAGUGGUACCUGUGGAAGAAGAGGGUCUUAAAAUGUGACCAUGCAUGUUGUGAAGAUAUUACAGUGUUGAUAGAGAAGGAAACGGGAGAACAAGAUGACCUCAAAUGGGUGGUGAGAGGCAAUCACAAUGGGCUUCAGUCACUUUAUGGGGCCCUUCUGUGGAGAAAUGGAAGUAAGAGAUGAGAAGAAAGGAAGAUUAGCAAGAAGUGCAGGAGUGGCUGUAGGGUGUUGUGUCAGUCUAUUAUGGAAAGGGAAGAGAAAGGAGGAGAAAGGUUGCCAUGCAAGAAUUGAAGGAAAGGCCACCUAAGGGACUGUUCCAUGAAUGGAAGAUCUGGACUAAUGAAAGUGAAUGGCUGCAGGAGAGAGGGAGGGAGGAAUGGAAAGUUUCUGUGGCCAGAGCAGGUCUAGGGAGGAAGAAGACUCUGGAGAACAGAGGAGUGAAUGUUAUGACAUGGCAGGCAUUAGAUCAUUAAAUACAGGCUGCAAAGGUGAGGUAGGAAGCCUGACCUUGGCCAGGAAGAUAAAGAGAAGAAGCAGGUCACAAAUGAAUGCAGCAAAUAAGGAUGUGACUGCAGAAGGCCCCCACAGAAUGAUGGAGAGUAGGGUAGCAGGGAGACAGGCUGGACAGCAACAGAGGGAACAAGGAGAAGAGUGCUCUCAGAGGUGAAAUGGAGGCACUUAGAGUGCUCAGGUCAGCCUGUAAGGCUUGGCUUGGGGAAGGGAAAGCAGAACAGGGUGGACAGCAACAGGCAAGGGGAAAUGUCUGAAAUUUUAGGCCAGGCUCUUUACUACGGAUCCG